CUACGGGCUGCUCCAGUGGGGAAUAUUGGGCAAUGGGCGCAAGCCUGACCCAGCAACGCCGCGUGAGGGAAGAAGGUUUUCGGAUUGUAAACCUCUGUCCUUGGGGACGAAGAAGUGACGGUACCCAAGGAGGAAGCUCCGGCUAACUACGUGCCAGCAGCCGCGGUAAUACGUAGGGAGCAAGCGUUGUCCGGAAUUACUGGGCGUAAAGGGUGCGUAGGCGGCAUAUUAAGUCAGGUGUGAAAUACUCGGGCUCAACCCGGGGGCUGCAUUUGAAACUGAUAUGCUUGAGUGUGAGAGAGGAAAGUGGAAUUCCUAGUGUAGCGGUGGAAUGCGUAGAUAUUAGGAGGAACACCAGUGGCGAAGGCGACUUUCUGGCUCAUGACUGACGCUGAGGCACGAAAGCGUGGGGAGCAAACAGGAUUAGAUACCCUGGUAGUC
RNAcentral lists this ribosomal RNA (441 nucleotides) under uncultured bacterium. RNAcentral's name for it is "partial 16S ribosomal RNA". It matches the Rfam family "Bacterial small subunit ribosomal RNA", at positions 339 to 795 of the family's 1533-position model. The record is from RNAcentral.